GGCGGUGCUGGCCGCCGGGGUGCAGCCACGUCGUGCGGCGCCCUUUCGGCGGGUGCUGAGAUAAGCGACGCGUCUGCUCCGAGGUGGUUUUGCUGCCCGCCUGAGUGAACGCAGGCGUGCCACUGAGGUGACACUGCAGCCCGGCUUGAAGGUAGCUCAAGGGAGUGCUUGGUGCACUUCAGUGCUUAGGAAUGCUUUCAGGAAUCGGUGUGGCUACCACAAGCGUUUCUAGCCUUCUGUCCUGCUCUGGAUGCUUUCUUAAGAGAUUGUAUUGCCACCUGGGCUUGGCUGGGAUACCUCUAUUUACUUCUGUGAGCCUUGGCUUGGAUCUAGUGCAGCAAAACGGUGGCAAUUUUUGAUCCCCAGGUACUCUUGAGUACAGAAGGGCCAUUUAGCGGACUGAGCAAGGCAUUGCUACAGAUGGCAAACAAGGGCAUCUCAUUCCCAAUGACAUUGCUGUGGAGAUGUAAAAGGAACACCAAAUUCUAAGAUUUGCUGCAGGUACAACAGGAAUAAGGAAUAAGAAACUCUGACAACUUAGUGGCAUGAAAAAAAAUGAAGAAAGAAGGCACUUGUUAGAAGGGUAAUGAGUAGUUUCAGCAUCUAAAGUUUAUGUGCAGAUACAGAUUUUAUAAAGACUAAUGACGAGGUCCCUGAGCAAUACCACAUAAAAAUUAUAACAGUCCAUUUAUAGACUUAAUUUUCACAGAUUUCACUUUAGCUUUAGUUUGCACUUGGCUUGCCAAAGUGUACUAGGUAGUUAAAAAACAUGUUUUGUUAGCUGACAGAAGGUUUGAUCACAUUGAUCUUAAACAUUUCCUUUUAUAUGUUUCUAAUAUUAAUAAAGUUGUUUGUUUAUUUAGACAUUGGUUGUCCACUUAGUCAUAAAGAAAUGGCCAUUAUGUUGGAAUGUUUUAAAGAAGAAUAAAGCAGCCAAUCUGUAAGAUCAGAUACAACAGCACCCCAUGCUCACAGAAGAGUACGCACCAAGGUUUAUGUUCAAUUUGACAUGUAAUUAAAAAAGCAAUCAACACUUAUCCCAUGCAAUCCAUACAAUUAAUCUGGCACUAUGUAACUAUACAAAUAUAUAGUCAUCUAGCCUGAAGCUUGUUAAAAAGUAAGCACUGCAGGCCUCUAUAAAGCCCAAUAACAUAUGUGCAUGGCAUGUUCCAGAGCAUUUUUCUAGCCAAAAACCCACCAUAUAGCUUAGCAAUGAAUUGCUCCCUAAAACAGCCUCAUCUGCAUACAUAUCGUCUUUCUAAUUUUAGUCUUCCUGAUUUCCUGUGAAAGUUAUGGGUGCUUCCCAGAAGCACAAGUCAGCUCAAAACAACUCAUAGCAAAAGUUUACAGGAUCCAGACCUUGACAGAACCCUCACUUUCAGCUUCUCAAGUAAAGGUACAAAAUGAAGUGUGCCACAAACUUACUUAAACCAUUUGUAGUGUGUGUAAAAGGAAGUGUUGUCUUGCCUUACAAAUGCAUGUUGUACUUCAGCAGUGGCUAAGAACAUACUGAUUUUUAUGUACAAUUCCCACAUUGUCUGGGACUUACUUCUAAAAUAGUGUCAGGAGAAGGUAAAUGAGGUUUACCUAAGUAUGUUAGCAACUUCUAACCCUUUACAAGCGAUGGCACUGGUGCUGAGUGAGGUUCAGUUUGCCAAGCAUCUCGUCAGAGCCUCUACUCUUAAGUUAGGGUUUUGCCAUAGGUGUGGCCAAAUUCCUCAAGACAUUCAGAGCUGGAGUUAGAUUUCCUCUGGUUAAUGCAAGCAUUAAAACUUUUGGGAGGACAAAUUGUGGGCCCAGCCUUUUACCUGCGGGAGUACUCCAUAUGCUAGGUUAUGAAUUCAAGCCUUAUGUAAGAAGAGACAGCCAUAUCCUUUUGGGACUAAUCAAGAUCCUGUGAUGAGAGGAAUGUAAUUCUUUU
Long non-coding RNA from Falco peregrinus (peregrine falcon), 1921 nucleotides. RefSeq lists it as uncharacterized. Lineage: Eukaryota; Metazoa; Chordata; Aves; Falconiformes; Falconidae. The record is from RefSeq and is a predicted model, not a curated record. The transcript is spliced from 3 exons.